UCGGACGCCCCAAUGGGGCCCCCAACGUCCGCGGUGCCCCCAUUACCUCCAUGCCGUUCCCACCCCAAAGUGGCACUUUUUUGCCCCAAAUGAGAACUUUAUGCCCUAAAUAGGGGCAUUUGUUUUCCCCCCAAAUGUGGGCCUUUUCGCCCCAAGUGUGGACCUUUUUGCCCCGGCUGUGAACGUUCUGCCCCAAACGUGGAUCUUUUCCCCCUAAAUGAGGGCCUUUUUGCCCCAAAUGAGGACUUUUCGCCCCGCUCCGUUCCGUUCCGCUCCGUUCCGUUCCGCGUUUUGGCGGCGGCCGUUCAGAUCCGCUCCGGCGGUUCCGCUCUGAUCCGCUCCGGGUUUUACCCGCAGCCGCUCCGCUCCGUCCGACCCCCCCCAGGAUGACGUCGCCGUGGGGCUGAGCCGUGGGGCGGAGCUGUGGGGCCCCCAAUGUUCCCACGGGCGCUGCGGGCGCUGCUGGAGGGGGCGCGGACCCCCCCGGGCCGGGAGGAGGGGUGGUGCUGAGCUCCUAUAGGGCCAAUCCCCCCGAGUCCGACCCACAGCAGACGGAGCUCCGCGAAGCCGACGCGCUCUUCUCGGCCGCCCCACAGCGCUAUGGGG
RNAcentral lists this long non-coding RNA (606 nucleotides) under Gallus gallus (chicken). Its description in RNAcentral is "lncRNA (ENSGALG00010003515.1)". Lineage: Eukaryota; Metazoa; Chordata; Aves; Galliformes; Phasianidae. The record is from RNAcentral.